GCCUGGCUGGCUCAGUGGGAGGAGUGUGAGACUCCUGAUCUUGGGGUCACGAGUUCGAAUCCUGUGUUGGGGG
Molecule: transfer RNA, 73 nt
Filed under: Ailuropoda melanoleuca (giant panda)
Lineage: Eukaryota; Metazoa; Chordata; Mammalia; Carnivora; Ursidae
Rfam family: tRNA
About the family: Transfer RNA (tRNA) molecules are approximately 80 nucleotides in length.
Source: Rfam by way of RNAcentral